UACGAAGGGGGCAAGCGUUAAUCGGAAUUACUGGGCGUAAAGCGCGCGUAGGUGGUUCAGUAAGUUGGAAGUGAAAUCCCCGGGCUCAACCUGGGAACUGCUUUCAAAACUGCUGAGCUAGGGUACGGUAGAGGGUGGUGGAAUUUCCUGUGUAGCGGUGAAAUGCGUAGAUAUAGGAAGGAACACCAGGGGCGAAGGCGACCACCUGGA
RNAcentral lists this ribosomal RNA (210 nucleotides) under uncultured bacterium. RNAcentral's name for it is "partial 16S ribosomal RNA". It matches the Rfam family "Bacterial small subunit ribosomal RNA", at positions 524 to 733 of the family's 1533-position model. The record is from RNAcentral.